GAUGAACGCUGGCGGCGUGCCUAAUACAUGCAAGUCGAGCGAACGGACGAGAUGCUUGCUUUUCUGAUGUUAGCGGCGGACGGGUGAGUAACACGUGGAUAACCUACCUAUAAGACUGGGAUAACUUCGGGAAACCGGAGCUAAUACCGGAUAAUAUUUUGAACCGCAUGGUUCAAAAGUGAAAGACGGUCUUGCUGUCACUUAUAGAUGGAUCCGCGCUGCAUUAGCUAGUUGGUAAGGUAACGGCUUACCAAGGCAACGAUGCAUAGCCGACCUGAGAGGGUGAUCGGCCACACUGGAACUGAGACACGGUCCAGACUCCUACGGGAGGCAGCAGUAGGGAAUCUUCCGCAAUGGGCGAAAGCCUGACGGAGCAACGCCGCGUGAGUGAUGAAGGUCUUCGGAUCGUAAAACUCUGUUAUUAGGGAAGAACAUAUGUGUAAGUAACUGUGCACAUCUUGACGGUACCUAAUCAGAAAGCCACGGCUAACUACGUG
Molecule: ribosomal RNA, 497 nt
Filed under: uncultured bacterium
Lineage: Bacteria
Description: partial 16S ribosomal RNA
Rfam family: Bacterial small subunit ribosomal RNA
Source: RNAcentral